CCUACGGGAGGCAGCAGUGAGGAAUAUUGGGCAAUGGGCGCAAGCCUGAACCAGCGAAGUCGCGUGAGGGAUGAAGGUUCUAUGGAUCGUAACCCUCUUUUAUAAGGGAAUAAAGUGUGGGACGUGUCCUAUUUUGUAUGUACCUUAUGAGUAAGGAUCGGCUAACUCCGUGCCAGCAGCCGCGGUAAUACGGAGGGUCCGAGCGUUAUACGGAUUGAUUGGGUUUAAGGGGUGCGUAGGCGGCCUUUUAAGUCAGCGGUGAAAGCCUGUGGCUCAACCAUAGAAUUGCCGUUGAAACUGGUGGGCUUGAGUAUGUUUGAGGCAGGCGGAAUGCGAGGUGUAGCGGUGAAAUGCUUAGAUAUCACGCAGAACCCCGAUUGCGAAGGCAGCCUGCUAAGCCAUGACUGACGCUGAUGCACGAAAGCGUGGGUAUCGAACAGGAUUAGAUACCCUUGUAGUC
Molecule: ribosomal RNA, 460 nt
Filed under: uncultured bacterium
Lineage: Bacteria
Description: partial 16S ribosomal RNA
Rfam family: Bacterial small subunit ribosomal RNA
Source: RNAcentral